AAAGAUUGAAAAUAACUGAGAUAGCCGAAACAAUUGGGAUACGAAGUGAACGCACAGGCAAUGUUAGAGCGCCAAGCAAAAUUCGGGUAAAUUUUUGCGUAAAUUUAUAACUUUGGACGAAUCUUACACUGUUGAAAGGUGAACCAACGCAAGCAAAGUAAAAACAUUUUUUUUUUCGAUAAAUGUUUAAUUGUUUUUUGGGACGCAAAAGGAAUUAUCUUUGUUGAUUACUUUGAGAAGGCUAAAAUCAUUACUGGUAAAUACUAUGCAAGGUUAUUGCAGCACUUGAAGGAUGGAGUGCAAAAAACGACCCCAUCUGGCGAAGAAAACAAUCACACCCGCCCAAGUUUGAAUUGUUCUCUCAUCAUAUUCAGUAGAUUUAGUAUCCUCCAACUAUCAUUUGUCGCCUAAUCUCAAAAAUGGCUCGGCGGUGAAUAAUACUGGGAAAACCAGGAAGUUAUCAAUUCUGCAAAUGGUUUGCAGGGUGUUGAGGAAUUUGAUAAUUCACACUGCUUAGCAUUGAAAUCUCGUUAAAAAAUAAAAGACAUCAGGCCGCACCUUUUUCACCCCGCUCUCUUAUUAAUAAAAACAAAAAAUGGACAAAAAUUAAACAUUAAGCAAUCAUUUACUGCUUUAAGUUAUAGAUAUAUUUUCGAAGAUUGGAAAAGUUCCUCCUGCUUUUGCAAAUAUAUCACAAAGUCAGUCUAAGCCUGUAAUAAGUUCAUGUAGAAGAAUUCUAAAUGCUAUAAAAGGUAAACUUAAAGUCACUCCACAUCAGCUAGUUGGCAAUUAUAUAAUGGAUAAUGUUAAUAGUGCAAGUGAAUGAAUUAAUAACAUAGUCAUUAGUGAGAAAUUUGAUAGAUUGACAAGAAUUUGUUUAGAUUCAUUACAUUAAAAUAAAAACAUUACGAUGGUGUGGUAUCAAACAUCUAUUAUGAUGUCAAGUUAAAACUGAAAAAUAAGAGAGUGUUAUUGCGAUUUUUUCAAAACAUUUUUUUUACUUAAUUUGAAAAGGAAAAAUGGUUUAAAACUUGCUAAUGGUGUUAGAACGAAGAACAAAAUUUUAAAAUUAGUUGUAAAGAUAUAUAGAGAAGUAGUUUGAAAUAACAUUUACGAUACCCUCUUACCGUCUUGGGCGCCUUACUUUUCUUUGUGCACCUGCUUCGAUAAAAUCUUUUGUGGUUCAUUAUUCUAAAUAUACAUUUAUGUUAUUUAAAUGGUGGGGAAGUAAGUAAUGUAAUAUUUUUAAAAUGAAAAAAUCAAUAUGGAUAAAAAGAGAAGUGAAGAACGUAAAACACACCGAGAGAAGUAAACUGUAACGGUAACUGCUUUACUGGGGAACGUAAUACCGGGUUCAUAAGUACUGUUGCGUCGAAAUUGAAAAAUCCGAUAACUCUGGAAUUUCGGUUGAUCCAACUUCACAGUUCUGUAUGAUACAAUUUGUUUUUUUACCUUUCCAUAAGCAGUAUUAUACUUUAAUAUUCUCUGGGUGGUCUGUAGAAAAGUAAAAAGGCAAUAAAAACGUACAAUCUUCCAAAUAUGAUGAAAAACGUUUGGAUGUCAAAUUUUGUGGUGCGUGUGAGAAGAAAGAUUAAAGCAGCAGCAUUUUCACCAGGAAAAAGAAAAAAAAUUUUGCAUGGUCCAGAGGGCACAUAUUAAGUGUAAAUAUUCUUUGCAUCAUAAAAAAAUCUUUAAACGGGUUUUUCUCAAGACCAUGUUUUUUUGACUGUUUGACACGAUUUAGAAAAAAAUACUGGAUUGAUCUGAUAUUUUAAUAUGUUGCUGUGUAAAUAUCUGGCUAUGGCAUAAAAUAGGAUCUUUCAGAUUGGCUGUAAAUUUCCCCAUUUUCACUGGAUUUUCUAACCUCAGAAAACGAAUUUUUCGAAAAACGUCCACCGUUUUGUCAUUUUUCAACCAAAAUCAAUAGAAUAAUAAACCACUUUAUUUAAUUUUUUUCGAUCAAGCAGAAAAGCAAAACAUGUCAACCACCACUUUCUGACAUUUUCAUUUUUUUUUUAAUUCUGAAACCGAUGCAGACAAAUCCUAAAUUUAGUUUUUUUUUUUUCUAUAUUAAUUCACUUACAAAAUUUCAUAAAGUAGACAGACCCCUUAAUUGUUUUGGGUGUGAAAGAACGAUUUUAUGCAAUCAAAUCAGAAGAUUAAGGGUCAAUCUUCUUUUUGAAAGGAUUAAUGAAAAAAUAAUUGAGGACAAUCUAGUGAAAAUGCCCAAGCCCUUUUUAGAAAAGAAAAGAGAUGAAUCACUGUAGUGUGAAUGGCAUUGUAACCCCCAAGCAUGUCGGGAAGGAAGUAGGGCCUGGUUAAUAGUAUCUCUCUAACCGUGAAUCUGGCGUGAGAUGAUUAAUGCUUGCGGUAACCGCAAGGCGCACCAUAUUACCACCAUAUUACGUGGGAACCGGUUUCGGACAGAAUACUGAAUAUGAAAUCCCGGUCUCAAAUCAAGAACUUUCCAGUAGUGCAGUCCAGUGCAGGAAGAAAUUUUUCUAUGAACAACGGAAUGUAGUUCAGGUGAGGCGUCUUAAAGGUGAUAUCCCGGUCGUGGUAGCUGACCUGAAUGCCAGGCUGGGUUCUAAUAACAUUCUGCUCGGAUGUGUGAUGGGGAUACACGGUGUUGGUGAUCGUAACGAUAAUGGUGAAAAGUUUGUAGAUUUUUUCAGUUUACAUCACCUUGUCAUUGGCAGAGCAUUAUUCGAAAGCUUAAUCGACAGAGAGCACGUUGCACGUUGAUUUCCGCUCUAGACUUCCUGAACUGGGCGGGAGAAGAUCGUAAAAGAUCACUUUGGAAAAGUGUGCGCGUUUAAAUCACCGGUCCACCUGUUCUUCAGCGAUUCCCAAACAGCUUUCGAUGAAAAGGAAUACAUGGAGUCCUCUGUCACAUGCUGGAUCGAGGCGAAAAUUCCGAAGGAUUCGAACUCCAAAACGUCAGGGCUGCAUCCUGUCACCGUUAUCAUUUUUUCUUCUUAUCGACGAGCUUCCCCACGCUGCCUUUUGUCAAAGACGUGGAGGACCUCAAUGGACAAUGACAACUUUCCUCAAAGGCCUUGACUACGUUGAUGGUAUCAACUUCCUUUCUUACAGAGUCCUGAAUCAUGGCCAAAUAGCUCCGGAUUGAGAGGAGGAGGCAAGCAGAAUUAUACUGAACACCAACAAAAUUUGUUGUAGAUGCUGGGAGUUCUGAGUCUACAACCAACAAAAAAAAAUUGCUUUUAAACUACAUGUUUAGAUGUUUAGCCCAUGUGAAUUUCGACGAGUUCAGUUUGGCAAUUUUUCAUAACUUCCGAGUGCUCGUGGGCUUUGGGUCUAAUUUUAGAGUUAAUAAAAUGCCAACCCCGACUAAAUGUAUCUAGUGGCAAAGCUGAACACUACACAGUUUGAACAGAAACAAAUUAAGGAAACAAUGCAGAAUAUUAUUUUUUUUGUAAAAAUUACUGAUGUGAAACGCGGUCGGACGUCGGUGGAUACAAGCAACGAUCAAAUUAAUUAAACCGAAAAAUCAUCUAGAAAAUAAACUGAACAAAUUGAACAUCAUUGAAGUUAUUUUGUAAAAUUUGGGACAGGAAAUAAAUAAAACUGGAGAUGAAUAAUA
Hermetia illucens (black soldier fly) is the source of this 3604-nucleotide long non-coding RNA. RefSeq lists it as uncharacterized. The transcript has 2 exons. The record is from RefSeq and is a predicted model, not a curated record. Lineage: Eukaryota; Metazoa; Arthropoda; Insecta; Diptera; Stratiomyidae.